GGGCCCGCACAAGCGGUGGAGCAUGUGGUUUAAUUCGAUGAUACGCGAGGAACCUUACCAGGGCUUAAAUGGGAAAUGACAGGGGCAGAGACGCCCCCUUCUUCGGACAUUUUUCAAGGUGCUGCAUGGUUGUCGUCAGCUCGUGCCGUGAGGUGUCAGGUUAAGUCCUAUAACGAGCGCAACCCCUACCGUUAGUUGCCAGCGUGUAAUGACGGGGACUCUAACGGAACUGCCGGUGCAAACCGUGAGGAAGGUGGGGACGACGUCAAAUCAUCACGGCCCUUACGUCCUGGCCACACACGUGCUACAAUGGUAGGUACAGAGGGCAGCGAAGUCGCGAGGCUAAGCAAA
This 351-nucleotide ribosomal RNA is filed under the name uncultured bacterium. RNAcentral describes it as "bacterial SSU rRNA". It matches the Rfam family "Bacterial small subunit ribosomal RNA", at positions 917 to 1271 of the family's 1533-position model. The record is from RNAcentral.